ACCUUCCUGCCUGACUCUUCGACUUUUGAGUAGAUUGUCCUCGGGACGCAGUACAGUGCUGCAUGGCGUGUCAGCUCUGUCGGAGUGUUGGUUAAGUCCGCAACGAGCGCACCCUUGUCCUAGUUGCCAGCAUUAGUUGGCACUUUAAGGAGACCGCCGGUGACAAACCGGAGGAAGGUGGGGAUGACGUCAAGUCAUCAUGGCCCUUAUGGCCAGGGCUACACACGUGCUACAAUGGCAAGUACAGAGGGCAGCGAAGCCGCGAGGUGAAGCUAAUCCCACAAAGCUUGUCGUAGUCCGGAUUGCAGUCUGCAACUCGACUGCAUGAAGUCGGAAUCGCUAGUAAUCGCGAAUCAGCAUUGUCGCGGUGAAUACGUUCCCGGGCCUUGUACACACCGCCCGUCACACCAUGGGAGUUGGUUGCACCAGAAGUAGGUAGUCUAACCUUCG
This 450-nucleotide ribosomal RNA is filed under the name uncultured marine bacterium. Its description in RNAcentral is "bacterial SSU rRNA". It matches the Rfam family "Bacterial small subunit ribosomal RNA", at positions 968 to 1444 of the family's 1533-position model. The record is from RNAcentral.